UACGGAGGGGGCUAGCGUUGUUCGGAAUUACUGGGCGUAAAGCGCACGUAGGCGGAUAUUUAAGUCUGGGGUGAAAUCCCGGGGCUCAACCCCGAAGCUGCCUUUGAUACUGGGUAUCUGGAGGUCGAGAGAGGCGAGUGGAAUUCCGAGUGUAGAGGUGAAAUUCGUAGAUAUUCGGAGGAACACCAGUGGCGAAGGCGACUCGCUGGCUCGAUACUGACGCUGAGGUGCGAAAGCGAGGGGAGCAAACAGG
Molecule: ribosomal RNA, 253 nt
Filed under: uncultured bacterium
Lineage: Bacteria
Description: partial 16S ribosomal RNA
Rfam family: Bacterial small subunit ribosomal RNA
Source: RNAcentral